UGCAGGUCAUUGUGUGAGCCCUGUAGCCACCUAUACUUUCACGAUGGUGGUAUCUCCAGGAUUCCCCUGUAUCAACUGGUACACUGCAUGAGGUUCAUCUAAACAGACUGAAGCUCUACAAUCAGAGAAAGACUGUUCCCUGUUUGGUCCACUGGUGUGAUGGCUGCCUGCCCAGCGAAUGGGGAUUGGCUGGCAUCCUACAGUGCAAAUCCUAAGUCCUAGAGGGUCUCCAGAAAGAAUAGGAAAGCAGGUAACCUGCUGAACAGAACAGAAAAUACCUCUCAGACCUGACAAAUAAAACUGGAAAAUUGCAGCUUUGUGGGGCUGGGCCAUAAUAUUACUUAGUUUCAACAUUCAAAAGAUCCCCAACCACCAUGCCUUUACAUAACUGUGGUGAAAAGAAGAGAAUAGUAAAAUAAAUAUUUAUUUGAUUACAGUGA
Long non-coding RNA from Xenopus tropicalis (tropical clawed frog), 440 nucleotides. RefSeq lists it as uncharacterized. The record is from RefSeq and is a predicted model, not a curated record. The transcript is spliced from 4 exons. Lineage: Eukaryota; Metazoa; Chordata; Amphibia; Anura; Pipidae.